AUGAACGCUGGCGGCGUGCCUAAUACAUGCAAGUCGAGCGAACGGACGAGAAGCUUGCUUCUCUGAUGUUAGCGGCGGACGGGUGAGUAACACGUGGAUAACCUACCUAUAAGACUGGGAUAACUUCGGGAAACCGGAGCUAAUACCGGAUAAUAUUUUGAACCGCAUGGUUCAAAAGUGAAAGACGGUCUUGCUGUCACUUAUAGAUGGAUCCGCGCUGCAUUAGCUAGUUGGUAAGGUAACGGCUUACGAAGGCAACGAUGCAUAGCCGACCUGAGAGGGUGAUCGGCCACACUGGAACUGAGACACGGUCCAGACUCCUACGGGAGGCAGCAGUAGGGAAUCUUCCGCAAUGGGCGAAAGCCUGACGGAGCAACGCCGCGUGAGUGAUGAAGGUCUUCGGAUCGUAAAACUCUGUUAUUAGGGAAGAACAUAUGUGUAAGUAACUGUGCACAUCUUGACGGUACCUAAUCAGAAAGCCACGGCUAACUACGUG
This 496-nucleotide ribosomal RNA is filed under the name uncultured bacterium. Its description in RNAcentral is "partial 16S ribosomal RNA". It matches the Rfam family "Bacterial small subunit ribosomal RNA", at positions 29 to 507 of the family's 1533-position model. The record is from RNAcentral.